This 253-nucleotide ribosomal RNA is filed under the name uncultured bacterium. RNAcentral's name for it is "partial 16S ribosomal RNA". It matches the Rfam family "Bacterial small subunit ribosomal RNA", at positions 524 to 776 of the family's 1533-position model. The record is from RNAcentral.
UACGUAGGCAGCAAGCGUUGUUCGGAAUUAUUGGGCGUAAAGAGCUCGUAGGCGGCUUGUCGCGUCGGAUGUGAAAGCCCGGGGCUUAACUCCGGGUCUGCAUUCGAUACGGGCAGGCUAGAGUGUGGUAGGGGAGAUCGGAAUUCCUGGUGUAGCGGUGAAAUGCGCAGAUAUCAGGAGGAACACCGGUGGCGAAGGCGGAUCUCUGGGCCAUUACUGACGCUGAGGAGCGAAAGCGUGGGGAGCGAACAGG